GCGCUCUUUCUGGGAGGAGCCUGGGGGGGGGAGGGUCCUGCCCACGGGCCCCGCCCUGCACUAGGCGGAAGCCCCCAAAGUAUCAGCGCCGCUUCGUGGAGCCUGGCGACUGCUUUGGGAAGUCCUGCUGGCAGGCACUCUGCCCCUGGGGGUGUGCAAAGAGUUGUCCAGUUACCUUGAUCUUCUCACAGCCUCCUCCCCAGGGCACCAGGAGAGACCAGGAUUGGAGGACGGUAAAGAACACACUUCCCAGAGGAUUCUUGGAGGUGGCUUCCUCCAGGCAGUAAAUCUACAGCCCAGGCUCCCUGCAUCUUAUGGCUCCAAUCACUUUGGAUCUCAUCGUCGCCUGCACAUUGCCAUACACAGGGAAGGAGAAGAGAUGGAGAAGGCAAAGACUUUCUGAAAGCCGUGGCUAAAAGCUGGCAUGUGUCACAUCAGCUCACAUUCCAUUGUAGAGACGGGGUUUCACCGUGUUAGCCAGGAUGGUCUUGAUAUCCUGACCUCGUGAUCCGCCCGCCUUGGCUUCCCAAAGUGCUGGGAUUACAGGCGUGAGCCACCGCUCCCGGCCUGGCAGGCAUUCUUGAGGCAAACGGGAAAUGGGUGAACGGGAGGAACAUUGGCAGCACUUGUGGUCUGCACCAAGAACUGAAUCGAAUUUCCAUGUGUUAUUGAAUGUUCACAAAGACCUUGUACAGCGAGUGUUACUACCUCUGGUCAAUGAUUCAACUCAAGGCUCAGAAAAGUCAAGUGUCUUGUCCAGGGACACUUAGUCAGAAGUGAAUCCAAGGUUUAAGCUCAAGUCUGCCUAACUCUGAAUUUCACAGCCUUUUGCUACAUAUGGCGAAUAAUAUAUCCCUGAGCACUAAAGGCAGACUCCAAGGAUCUUGUCUCUGCAAUCAUCAUUCUGGCCAUAAUUUAUGAAAAGCAACCCAAAGUAUGUGAUGUAAUAAAAAGUACUAUCUAUGAGUUUACCCUUCCAAAAAUUGAACUGAAUUCUGAGCUCUAAAUUUGGAAUCAAAAGAACUUUUCUCUGCACUAAUCAUUUGGAACAUCACUUAAAGAAAACAACGAAAAACUGGUGUCCCCUGAGAGAAAGCAAUACAAAACAUUAUGCAUAAAGAAAUCCUUCCAAAAAAUAAACCAAAUCCAGUCAAAUCUCUAGUUUUGACUCCUAGCUUACCGGAAAUACGUGAUGGGAAAAAAAUGAAAUGACACCACUAUGAUUCAAUCAGCCAAAUCCAGCAUAUGCAAAUUUCUACCAGAUAAAUGGUUUAGUUUCUUCCCCAAACAAAUGGCACAAGGAAACGGAGGUAAGAAUGGGAUGCUGUUAUAGAUUUUAAAAGAUUUAAGAAAGUAUAAACUAAAUACACUAUGUGCAUCCUCUCUGAACGUGCUUCAAACAUAUCAAGGGGUCAAUGAGCAGUUUUGAAACAAUAAGGGAAUUUGAACACUGAAUGGUUGUCAGAAGAUAGUAAGAGAUCAUUAUUAAUUUUACUAGACAUAAUGAUGUUCUGAUUUUGUUUUUUUUUUAAAAAAAAAACAGUGUUAUUUCCUUUAUAGAUACAUCAUAUAGUAUUAACUAAUGAAAUGCUUUGAUAUCUGGAACGUUUAAAAAAUAUUCCCGAUGGAGUAAGUGCAAAGAAACAGGUAAGCAAAAUGCUGAUAAUUGCUGAAACACAGGAUGUGUACCUGGGGCUUCAUUUACUAUCUCUUCAUUUUCUAUUUUGAUAUUUGUUGGACAUUCUCAUAAAAAGGAAAGUUAUGUUUUAUUUUCUCAUAAGCUAGUAAUGAAAUAGCCCUACGUAACUGAUAUUGUAGAGACAAGAAUAGGUGUAAUAGAGCUUAAGGUUUUCAUUUAAAAAACUAUCUGUAGACUUCAAUGGAUCUUAGGUGGCAUCCAUGCAAUAACACUCGUGGAACAUGCAGGACAGGUGUGGAGCUCCAUCUUCACACAGUGACAUUUUUUAUGCUUCUGUUUUCCCUAAGAGUGGAGUGAGAGGAUGAUUAUUUUAUAUCAUGGACUUCUUCCCUGCUAUACUUUUUUUAAUUAUUUUACUUUCACUUCUGGGAUACAUGUGCUGAGCAUGCAGGCUUGUUUACAUAGGUAUACAUCUGCCAUGGUGGUUUGCUGCACCUAUCAACCCAUCAUACAGGUUUUAAGCCCUGCAUGCAUUAGGUAUUCGCCCUAAUGCUCUCCCUCGCCUUUCCCCCCACCCCCUGAUAGCCCCCAGUGAGUCAUAUUCCCCUCCCUGUGUCCAUGUGUUCUCAUUGUUCAACUCCCAUUUAUGAGUGAGAAUAUGUGGUGUUUAGUUUUCUGUUCCUGUGUUAGUUUGCUGAGAAUGAUGUUUUCCAGCUUCAUCCAUGUCCCUGAAAAGGACAUGAGCUCAUUCUUUUUUAUGGCUGCAUAGUAUUCCACGGUGUUAUAUGUGCCACAUUUUCUUAAUCCAGUCUGUCAUUGAUGGACAUUUGGGUUGUUUCCAAGUCUUUGCUAUUGUAAAUAGUGCUGCAAUAAACAUAUGUGUGCAUGUGUCUUUGUAGUAGAAUGAUUUAUAAUCCUUUGGGUAUAUGCCCAGUAAUGGGACUGAUGGGUCAAAUGGUAUUUCUGGUUCUAGAUCCUUGAGGAAUUGCCACACUGUCUUCCACAAUGGUUGAACUAAUUUAUACUCCCACCAACAGGGUAAAAGCAUUCCUAUUUCUCCACAUCCUCUCCAGCAUCUGUUGUUUCCAAAUGUUUUAAUGAUUGCCAUUCCACCUGGCGUGAGAUGGUAUCUCAUUGUGGUUUUGAUUUUCAUUUCUCUAAUGACCAGUGAUGAUAAGCUUUUUUUCAUAUGUUUGUUGGCCACAUAAAUGUCUUCUUUUGACUUUUAUGUGGAAACAAAUUUAACUGCACAGAGAGGUGAAAAUUAAUUAAUAACUUUUAAAGUAAUUCCCUAAGUUUCUAAGGAUCUAUAUGUUUCCAUCUGACUUUAUUUUAUUUAAGCUCUUGAUUGAUGCUGCAUUUGGAGCAGGUUCAUGAACAUGAAUAGAGUUAAUCUGGGACAGAUUUCCCUCAUUUGAUUUUUUCACUGUUUCCAUCACAGAACUUAUUUCAUGCUCACCAUGUUUGCAGGCAUUGAGCUUGGUACUGGAGCCACAGAGCUGGAUCAGACAGACUUGUGCAAAUAUUUCAGGUUUUUUUUGUGGGGGGGUCAUAUUUAUAGAUAAAUAACAGUAAAGAGUGACGGGUUCUUAUGAAAAUGCAUACACAGUGAAGUAGAGGGUGAAAAGGAGGGAUGUGUUCUAUGAGGAGGAAGAGUGAUAAGAAAGUGUAAGGGGAUGUGUCUGUGUCUAGACAUAUGUGUGUUCACGUGUGUGCGUGCUUGUGUGUACUGCAUGUGUAUAUGUGUGGCCAUGCACCUGUGUGCAUGUUCAUGUGUGUGUGUGUAUGUGUCUGUGUUGAGGACUAAAUUAAUUGGGCUUAUGGAAGCAGGGAGCCACUGAUAGGUUUAAUUAGAGACUGACAUGAUAUGAUAGUUUAGGUGGAUUUCUCUGGGGGCUGUGUUGAGGGACAGUGGGGAGGAGAGCUAGAAGGAAGAAAAGGACACAUGCAUAACAGAAGCAAUAUCUGUCUAUGGGAUGGUGGAAAGAAUCAGAAAAGACUUAAUAAAACAUGUGACACUUUAACUGAAUCUUGAAAUAGACAAGUGUUGGAGGAGGGAGUUGGACCAGAUACUUCAUGCAAAGGGAAGAAAAGUGCACAAACAAAAUAUGAGAAACAAGGCAGACAGGCAUUUUUUUAAAAUUUUCGCACCCACUGAUAGACCAGUGAUGCAUUCACAUCGUCUGCAUUCAUGAUCAACAAAAGUGCUUUCCUAGAACAUGAACCUCAACCCAAGUGUCGCCUCAAGUAGUGUAUGCAUGAACUCAAGCAUUAAAUUAGAAUUGAUUUUUUAAAAAACUCACACAAACAGAUGUAUUAUUUAAAAAUCUUUAAAGCAGGUUUAAACAGUUUUCAGGAUUAAAAGCAGCCACUAUUAGAAAGAACAAAAAUACAUUUGACAUAAAUAUAAGGAGCCUCAAUAGAACCUCCUGUACCCAGUCAUUGUCAAUGCCACAUCCAUUCAUUCACCAGCCCUUAUAUCAAUGCUUGCUGGGCUCACUUACCACGAUCAGCACGUGCAUGUCCUUAUCUGAAAGCUUGCCACUCAAAUGUGCUCAGUCUUACCUGUGUGGCUGGGAGUGUUGGGGAUUUAAUGUCAAGGGAAAGAAUCUUCCAUCAAUGAAUGAUGAAAGUUAGUUUUCACAACUUCCGGUCCCCUUGGCCCUCAUCAAAGGGCUCCAGGUGAGGUUUGGGCUCCUUGCUAUCCUCCGAGUUUCCACGGUAGUUUUAAGCACCAUUGCCCGUGGUAAUGGCUGACAUUGAUACUGCACUUUUUUUUUAUUUAAGAUGGAGUUCCCCUCUGCCACCCAGACUGGAGUACAGUGGCGCGAUCCUGGCCAUCGCAACCUCCGCCUCCCAGAUCCCUCCUACAACACAUGAGAAUUGUGGGUGCUACAAUUCAAGAUGAGAUUUGAGUGGGGACAAAGUCAAACCAUAUCAUUAGAUAGGACACUGGAGAAAGGCAAGAAAGAAAAGACAUCUGAAGAAUGAAGGGAGCCAAAGAAAUGCCAACAUUUUGCUUUUUGAAGAAAAGCUAAAUUAAAGUCAAAAUGGAUUUAUCAAUUUCCUUGGGUUCGUGAAUGUACAGAACUUUAUUAAGACUGUCAUGCUGUCAUCAUGGCUGGAUCUGAUACGGCCACCGUGGACCUUGAGGUGACCUCGGGAAUGGAGACAGUGCAUGGGAGAGAAUCACAUUGGAAGGGGCCUGGGUUUCUGAAGACCCUGUAAGACAGAUCUCCUUGCAGCCCUGACUGCCCACAUUAGGGCUUUUAUGUUAGGGUGAAGUUACCUUGCAUUGUCAUAUAAGCAAUUGCUAUUUGUGGUGUCUUGCAAAUAAACCUAUUCUGAUCUAGUAUGUUUCCUAAAAAACAAAAGUUUGAACCCAGCUCUUUACGUGUUACAUGUUCUGAAUACAAAAAUAAGACCCAGUUUCUGCCCCCUAGCAGGACCCAAAACCCCUCAGUGAAGGCAUACACCAUAGGAAUAAUCUCACAAGUACUUU
This 5141-nucleotide long non-coding RNA is filed under the name Homo sapiens (human). RNAcentral describes it as "HSALNT0196700". The record is from RNAcentral. Lineage: Eukaryota; Metazoa; Chordata; Mammalia; Primates; Hominidae.